CCCUUAGAUGUUCUGGGCCGCACGCGCGCUACACUGACGAAUGCAACGAGCUUAUAACCUUGGCCGAAAGGUCUGGGUAAUCUCCAAAUUUCGUCGUGAUGGGGAUAGAUUAUUGCAAUUAUUAAUCUUCAACGAGGAAUGCCUAGUAAGCGCAAGUCAUCAGCUUGCGUUGAUUACGUCCCUGCCCUUUGUACACACCGCCCGUCGCACCUACCGAUUGAAUGGUCCGGUGAAAUCUCGGGACGGCGGCUUAGUCGCUUGCGUCCGACUGCUGAAACUUGAUUAAACCAUAUCAUUUAGAGGAAGGUGAAGUCGUAACA
RNAcentral lists this ribosomal RNA (320 nucleotides) under uncultured eukaryote. RNAcentral's name for it is "partial 18S ribosomal RNA". It matches the Rfam family "Eukaryotic small subunit ribosomal RNA", at positions 1470 to 1796 of the family's 1831-position model. The record is from RNAcentral.